Molecule: long non-coding RNA, 388 nt
Filed under: Homo sapiens (human)
Lineage: Eukaryota; Metazoa; Chordata; Mammalia; Primates; Hominidae
Description: non-protein coding lnc-F13A1-3:15
Source: RNAcentral
GUUGCUAGCCCUCCUUAGAGAGGGCGAGGGAGAGGAGGAUGCUGUGCCUGGAAAGCGGCUCUUGAGGAGAGCUGGAAUCUCGGCAAAGCGUCCACUCCCUCCCCUCCCCUUUCCUCUCACCUCUAGUGUUCCCACCAGCCCCGGGGAGGAGACAAAGGACGUGGGAGGGCAGCAGCAUGCAGGGGGCCUGCCUUUGACGCCCAGGAGUUGAACACCAGACAGAAAAUGAAAUCUAAACAUUUACCCAGAGCCCUGGGCUAGAAAUGGGCCAACCUGACCCUGGAAAACAAACAACCCGCGUCACCGCCACACCUGCUGCAGGCCCCAGAUGCCACAGGUUGCCUUAAAGAAAAGUUUCUGUAUAUUAAAUAUAAACUAUAUGAUGCAC